UAACUUAAACAAGUGAUAUAAAUGAUGAAUACCAAUUAAUAAAUGAAAAAUUCAAGACAAAAUAAUUUCUGAUUUGUCAACAACUGCUCAUGUGCAUUCACUUCGCGACGGCAGCCGCAGACAGCUCAUGGUACGCAGCGCGCGCCUGCAUUGACAAUUCACGCUGGCGCACCUGUUAAUAAGAAAGUCUAAGCCAUGUCAAAAAAGGAUUUAUCCCUCUGGUGCCGAAAAAAGAAAAGGAAAGAGGAAGAGAAAAAAGAGCAAGAUAAAGGAACACUGUUGAAGUACUUUGGAGAACAACCAACUUUACCUGCCCCUACUGUUUCGAGUGUCAGUGCCUCCACAGCUGAUGAUGCAGCAGGUUCAUCCACUGCACAAGCGACAACAAGGGAGGAGCACUUACAUGUGACUGAAAGCGAGGAGCAGUUACAUGCACCUACAUUUACUGAUCCACUG
Molecule: long non-coding RNA, 456 nt
Organism: Cyprinodon tularosa
Lineage: Eukaryota; Metazoa; Chordata; Actinopteri; Cyprinodontiformes; Cyprinodontidae
Exons: 3
Source: RefSeq, a predicted model, not a curated record